AGAGUUUGAUCCUGGCUCAGGACGAACGCUGGCGGCGUGCCUAAUGCAUGCAAGUCGAGCGGGCUACAGUCUUCGGAUUGUAGCUUAGCGGCGAACGGGUGAGUAACACGUAGGUAAUCUACCCUUCAGAGGAGGACAACCUCAGGAAACUGAGGCUAAACCUUCAUACGUUCACUGGUAGGGAUACUGGUGAAGAAAGAGUUACCGUUGAGGUGGCUGCUGAAGGAUGAGCCUGCGGCCCAUCAGGUAGUUGGUGAGGUAACGGCUCACCAAGCCGAAGACGGGUAACCGGUCUGAGAGGAUGUCCGGUCACACUGGGACUGAGACACGGCCCAGACUCCUACGGGAGGCAGCAGCAGGGAAUCUUGGGCAAUGGGCGAAAGCCUGACCCAGCGACGCCGCGUGGAGGAAGAAGUCCUUCGGGGCGUAAACUCCUGGACUGGGGGACGAGGAAGGACGGUACCCCAGUAGAAAGGGACGGCUAACUACGUGCCAGCAGCCGCGGUAAAACGUAGGUCCCGAGCGUUGUUCGGAUUCACUGGGUGUAAAGGGCGCGUAGGUGGUUGUCUGUGUCUCAUGUGAAAACUCAGGGCUCAACUCUGAGAUUGCGUGGGAAACUAGGCAGCUAGAGGACGGUAGAGGGGAGUGGAAUUCCCGGUGUAGCGGUAAAAUGCGUAGAUAUCGGGAGGAACACCGGUGGCGAAGGCGGCUCUCUGGGCCGAUCCUGACGCUGAGGCGCGAAAGCUAGGGGAGCGAACCGGAUUAGAUACCCGGGUAGUCCUAGCCGUAAACGAUGGGUGCUAGGUGUUGGGGGGUAAAGACCCUUCAGUGCCGAAGCCAACGCGAUAAGCAUCCCACCUGGGGAGUACGGCCGCAAGGUUGAAACUUAAAGGAAUUGACGG
RNAcentral lists this ribosomal RNA (902 nucleotides) under uncultured bacterium. RNAcentral describes it as "bacterial SSU rRNA". It matches the Rfam family "Bacterial small subunit ribosomal RNA", at positions 8 to 916 of the family's 1533-position model. The record is from RNAcentral.